GAAUGGGGAAACCCAGUGUGUUUCGACACACUAUCAUUAACUGAAUCCAUAGGUUAAUGAGGCGAACCGGGGGAACUGAAACAUCUAAGUACCCCGAGGAAAAGAAAUCAACCGAGAUUCCCCCAGUAGCGGCGAGCGAACGGGGAGGAGCCCAGAGCCUGAAUCAGUGUGUGUGUUAGUGGAAGCGUCUGGAAAGGCGCGCGAUACAGGGUGACAGCCCCGUACACAAAAAUGCACAUAUUGUGAGCUCGAUGAGUAGGGCGGGACACGUGGUAUCCUGUCUGAAUAUGGGGGGACCAUCCUCCAAGGCUAAAUACUCCUGACUGACCGAUAGUGAACCAGUACCGUGAGGGAAAGGCGAAAAGAACCCCGGCGAGGGGAGUGAAAAAGAACCUGAAACCGUGUAC
Molecule: ribosomal RNA, 407 nt
Filed under: Escherichia coli
Lineage: Bacteria; Pseudomonadati; Pseudomonadota; Gammaproteobacteria; Enterobacterales; Enterobacteriaceae
Description: partial 23S ribosomal RNA
Rfam family: Bacterial large subunit ribosomal RNA
Source: RNAcentral